GUAUGAGUUUGGAGGUAUGGCAGACCCAUCUUCCUGUGUCUCUUACAGUACCCCAGGCCAGAGCAAACCAUGGCCUCGACUAUUGCUGGGCCUCUGCCCAUAGGCUGAAGACAGUGAAGCAGGUUGCAUAGUG
This is a small nucleolar RNA of Pipistrellus kuhlii (Kuhl's pipistrelle), 133 nucleotides long. RefSeq annotates it as small nucleolar RNA SNORA42/SNORA80 family. The record is from RefSeq and is a predicted model, not a curated record. NCBI's taxonomy places the organism in Eukaryota, Metazoa, Chordata, Mammalia, Chiroptera, Vespertilionidae. The transcript has a single exon.